GCUCCGGUGACGCUGAAGAGGCUGGCCGGCGGCUUUGACGUUAGAAGCUUCAGAGUUAAACUGACCAUUUUUUCAAAUGUCAAAUCUCAAAAUCAGAUGUCUUCAUUUUCUAAUAGGACGUUGUUGACCCAAAAUUAAGUUUAAAUCCAUUCAAUUGGGUUUUGUUCUUAUGAAAUUAUUAAGUGAGAUGAAGUGAUAGUGCAG
Molecule: long non-coding RNA, 204 nt
Filed under: Medicago truncatula (barrel medic)
Lineage: Eukaryota; Viridiplantae; Streptophyta; Magnoliopsida; Fabales; Fabaceae
Description: lncRNA gene22362
Source: RNAcentral